RNAcentral lists this long non-coding RNA (476 nucleotides) under Brassica napus (rape). RNAcentral's name for it is "long non-coding RNA (BNAP_LNC013321)". The record is from RNAcentral. Lineage: Eukaryota; Viridiplantae; Streptophyta; Magnoliopsida; Brassicales; Brassicaceae.
UUUCUUUCUCUUCUUUUUUUCUUCUCUUUCUCUUUUCUCUGCGACGGCAUCUCUCUCUUUUCCCGAUUCCUUUCUAUCUACAAACUGUUCUUCUGUUUUUUUUUUCUUUUUCUUCUUCAAUCCUUCGUGAAACUUAUCCAUAGCCACUCAAUCUGAUGAAGGAAUUGAAGAAAACGGUGAAGAAGAUGAAGGAAUUCAAGGAAAAAAGAGCUCGAAGCCUAUUUACAUUUAUAGUCAUGGAUCUGUGAUUUCAGAUUAGGGUUUCGUUUUAUGAGGAAUACUAUGAGUUUGUUUCGAUCUAGAGUUUAUUUUUGUUCUUGAUGAUUUUGAUAGUGUUUUGAAUAAGAUUUUAGGUUUUCUAUGAUUUAGGGUUCUUAUUGUUCUUAUUCUUCUACAGUAUUUUUCGUGUUUGUAUUUAUUUCAUCUUCAGAUCCAGAUUCAGUUUAACUCGGUGUUAUUAACUCAUUCGAACUCGG